GCGGGGGUGGCAGAGCGGUCAAAUGCGCAAGAUUGAGGUUCUUGUCCCUUAGUGGGUUCGAGGGUUCGAAUCCCUUCCCCCGCA
This 84-nucleotide transfer RNA is filed under the name Candidatus Woesearchaeota archaeon. Its description in RNAcentral is "tRNA-Leu". It matches the Rfam family "tRNA". Rfam says of the family: Transfer RNA (tRNA) molecules are approximately 80 nucleotides in length. Their secondary structure includes four short double-helical elements and three loops (D, anti-codon, and T loops). Lineage: Archaea; Nanobdellati; Candidatus Woesearchaeota. The record is from RNAcentral.